This 77-nucleotide transfer RNA is filed under the name Halobacteriovoraceae bacterium. RNAcentral describes it as "tRNA-Arg". It matches the Rfam family "tRNA". Rfam says of the family: Transfer RNA (tRNA) molecules are approximately 80 nucleotides in length. Their secondary structure includes four short double-helical elements and three loops (D, anti-codon, and T loops). Lineage: Bacteria; Pseudomonadati; Bdellovibrionota; Bacteriovoracia; Bacteriovoracales; Halobacteriovoraceae. The record is from RNAcentral. RNAcentral also lists the same sequence under 1 other name.
GCAACCGUAGCUCAGCUGGAUAGAGCAUCCGCCUUCUAAGCGGACGGUCCCAGGUUCGAAUCCUGGCGGUUGCGCCA